RNAcentral lists this long non-coding RNA (1224 nucleotides) under Anas platyrhynchos platyrhynchos (common mallard). RNAcentral describes it as "lncRNA (ENSAPLG00000030180.1)". The record is from RNAcentral. Lineage: Eukaryota; Metazoa; Chordata; Aves; Anseriformes; Anatidae.
AUGAGAAACAAACGGGCUGCUCCGACCGCUGCUGCUCCCAGCCCACACACCUCCGGGCUGCCCAGUGCCGGGGCUCCGUCGUGCUCCCGUGGGCAUCACCGCUGCUGGGCUGCCGCGGGCACCACCGCGGCCACGAGGGAUGGUUCCUGGCAUCCGUCCUGCCCAUGCGCCACCCUCCCUGGCACCUCCAUCCUGCCCAAGUGUCACCAUCUGUGGCAUCUCCAUCCUCUCCAAGUGCCACUGUCCUUGGCAUCGCCUUCUGCCCAAGUGCCACCACCCCUGGCAUCCAUCCUGCCCAAGUGUCACUGUCCCUGGCAUCCAUCCUGCCCAUGCGCCACCAUCCCUGGCAACUUUGUCCUACCCAUGUGCCACCAUCUGUGGCAUCUCCAUCCUCUCCAAGUGCCACCAUCCCUGGCAUCUGUCCUGCCCAAUUGCCACCACCCCUGGGAUCUCCAUCCUGCUCGUUCAGCACCAUCCCCAGGCUCUCCAUCCUGCCCACGGCAGCUCCAUCCUUCUCAUCUGGCCCCAUCCCUGGGCACCUCUAACCUGCCCGUCUGGCACCAUCCCCGGGCGCUUCCACCUUCAGCCAGCCCCCAUCCCUGUGCUGCAGCAUCCUGCCCGUGUGCCACCAUCCCUGGGCAUCCCCACCCUCCUCCAGCACCAUCCCUGAGCACCCCGAGCCUGCCCAUCCAGCACCACCCCUGGGCAUCUCCAUCCUCAUCCAGGCACCACCUCCGGCCAUCUCCAUCCUUCUCCCUCGGCACCACCCAUGGCACUUCCAUCCCACCCCCAUGCCACCACCGCUGGGAUCCCCAUCCUAAGGACGUUCCCCCCAGGCUGGGGUCCCCGCAGCCUCCUCCUCGGCUGGAUUUGGCCCCUGGGGAAGCUGCUGUGGCCGGAGCAGUGCCAGGCCGGCCAGCAGUGACGCGGAAACCCAGGGAGCAGAGGGAGCGAGGCGCGAGGGAGUCCCGCGCUGUCCCCCGCCGGGUCCCCCGGCCCCCCCCGGCCACUGCUUGCUCCAGCCGGGGCCGCAGCCAAGCCUCUGCUGUUCCAGUUGGCCACGGCUCGGCCCCGAGUUAUCUGCAGCUCCGCGGCGGUCACAUUUUCCACUGCUCCGUGUUUGUGUUUGAAAGGCGGCUGGGAGGAGGGGAGGAGGAGAAGGAGCGCGAGAAGGGAGAGAUCCCCGUGGGCCUGGCCGUGGGCAGGGGGCGGGUGGGAAGGUGA